Molecule: long non-coding RNA, 222 nt
Filed under: Mytilus galloprovincialis (Mediterranean mussel)
Lineage: Eukaryota; Metazoa; Mollusca; Bivalvia; Mytilida; Mytilidae
Source: RNAcentral
AAAACUGAAACAAUCUUUCACGGGUCCAAAGUUUCGCUUUAAAAAAUUCGUGCGACUUCAAAAAUUCGGUAUGUUCAAUAACCACAGGUAAGUCAGAUUUUGAUUUUUUGUAAGGAGAAAGAAGCAUGAUAAGCAUGAAAAGUAGUUGUAAGAUAAUCAAACAAGAUUUGGUAAAAAAAAUCAACAAAAUGAGUGUUGCGUUUCUAAAGUCGUUCAGUAUAU